Molecule: transfer RNA, 863 nt
Filed under: uncultured Synechococcus sp.
Lineage: Bacteria; Bacillati; Cyanobacteriota; Cyanophyceae; Synechococcales; Synechococcaceae
Description: partial contains 16S ribosomal RNA, 16S-23S ribosomal RNA intergenic spacer, and 23S ribosomal RNA
Rfam family: tRNA (bases 283-355)
Source: RNAcentral
UGGAUCACCUCCUAACAGGGAGACAACACAAUGAUUUUGAUGCCUGAGUACUUUUAUUCUUAGGCCGAAAUCCUGUCACCUUAGGUCGAUCGGUACCUCAGCUUUGAAGUUAAGAAUCAGCAGCAAUGUUGAUUGCUUGAUGGAGAUUUUCAGUUCCUAAACUUUGUCUAGGUCACACCCCAAAAGGGAUGAGACUCCUGGGCCAUUAGCUCAGGUGGUUAGAGCGCACCCCUGAUAAGGGUGAGGUCCCUGGUUCAAGUCCAGGAUGGCCCAUUCGGUGUUGGGGGUUUAGCUCAGUUGGUAGAGCGCCUGCUUUGCAAGCAGGAUGUCAGGAGUUCGAGUCUCCUAACCUCCACUGACCGAACUCAAUGUCCAGCUUUCAUCGAAUGAUGGAAAGCCGCUCGAUUGUGAUGUGUGACGUAGAUGUGUCCGCUGGAUGACUCCAGCCUCCUGUCAUUCCAGGAUCAGAACAAAUGUUUUGACUUGGUUGAUAAGAUGCUGGGCUCAAAUGAGAUUGUUGAGCAAUCAACAAUUUGAUUUGAAUUCUGGCAGAACCUUGACAACUGCAUAGGUAAGUCUGGAAAAAACAAAGCAUCUCAUGGAUGCAUUGUUUUGAGUCUAAUCAUUCGAAAGGAUGAUUAGAUCUAGAACAAUGAAAAUUCUUUUGAGCAAGAGCCGAGACUCUUGAACGUUCUUUGAUGUGUGUCGAGCAGAUCAGAGUUUGAUUUUGUUUUUAAGAUCAGUGAAAGCUGAGAUUAAAACCAUAAGAAUCCGUUUUCAACAACGGCAAGCGUUCAAGAGAUUAAUUGGUCAAGCUACAAAGGGCUCACGGCGGAUACCUUGGCACACAGAGGCGAUGAAGG